UACGGGGGGGGCAAGCGUUGUCCGGAUUUACUGGGCGUAAAGGGCUCGUAGGUGGCCAACUAAGUCAGACGUGAAAUCCCUCGGCUUAACCGGGGAACUGCGUCUGAUACUGGAUGGCUUGAGUUUGGGAGAGGGAUGCGGAAUUCCAGGUGUAGCGGUGAAAUGCGUAGAUAUCUGGAGGAACACCGGUGGCGAAGGCGGCAUCCUGGACCAACACUGACACUGAGGAGCGAAAGCCAGGGGAGCAAACGGG
This 253-nucleotide ribosomal RNA is filed under the name uncultured bacterium. RNAcentral describes it as "partial 16S ribosomal RNA". It matches the Rfam family "Bacterial small subunit ribosomal RNA", at positions 524 to 776 of the family's 1533-position model. The record is from RNAcentral.